GUUUUCUCAUCCCCUUUGUUUUAUAUAGGCCCUUCCAAUCACAUGAUGCGAGCGCGGAUUACACGAACUCGCGAGUGGGUCAGCUGUGUGAGAGAUCAAGUGAGAGAUCUUAUUAUUCCUCUUGAAAGUACCUCAAAAACUCAUGUCUUGUCUAGCUAGGUUCUCUAAAGAUAGCCCUGUUCCUAUUUAUCAGUAGAGAUUCUCCAGGCGUGGACCGUCCGAUGGCAGCUUAUCUGAGAGAGCAAGUUUCGGCCUUGGACCCAAGUUGGAGAGAGAUCUCAAACGGAAACAACAACAAAUUGGAUACAGAAGAUGGCAGAGCGGACUGCACACAUGGACCUGUACUUCUCGACCACAGCACCUUUGUGGAGCAUGAACUUGAUGAAGUAGUGGUGGAAGAAUUCACAUGGUAUAACCUCCUUGGGCAGCAGGGGUAGGCAGCAGUCAGCUAGUCUUCACACUGCUCUUCCAUGCGGCUGAGCCGCUCUGUCCAGUGGGUCAACCCCGGCCCUGUGAGACCGCACACCUUCAUGUCCCUCCUAACACACUCCAUCUAAUAAGUUUUUCUCGGUCUACCACGACCCCUGUUGCCUGACGCUUUCAGUUUGGUGAUGGUGUUACUAGUGAUGCAGUCACUUGAUCUUUCUACGUGUCCAAAAUGAUGAAACUAUGGAAUGGUGCAAUUUGGAGUUUUAACAUGCUAACAAAAGCCAUGCUGUACGGCAAGUACAUUUAGAGCGGGGGAAUAGAACAUUAUUCACUGUUGUCAUCUGAUUUUUGUGGUGUGUUUGUUAACAAAGCUGAUCCGGAAGACUCUGAAGUAUCGAGUCUGUACGCUAUACAUCUAUCCUGCACAACACACAAAGGAGGCUACACAAGUAUAGGCUUUAGCGAAAUACAUAUGGGUAUGAAUCUUUCUACAAAAACAGUGUAUCAAUGGAUACACAACUUUAAAAGUUGAAUGUGGCUAUUGUAUAGCAGGCAUUUGGGCUAAAAAAAACACUGAUGUGCAUUUUGUACGAUAGUGGUAACACCUGGGUGCCUUA
This is a long non-coding RNA of Branchiostoma floridae (Florida lancelet), 1046 nucleotides long. RefSeq lists it as uncharacterized. The transcript is spliced from 3 exons. The record is from RefSeq and is a predicted model, not a curated record. NCBI's taxonomy places the organism in Eukaryota, Metazoa, Chordata, Leptocardii, Amphioxiformes, Branchiostomatidae.